RNAcentral lists this ribosomal RNA (468 nucleotides) under uncultured bacterium. RNAcentral describes it as "partial 16S ribosomal RNA". It matches the Rfam family "Bacterial small subunit ribosomal RNA", at positions 28 to 507 of the family's 1533-position model. The record is from RNAcentral.
GACGAACGCUGGCGGCGUGCUUAACACAUGCAAGUCGAACGGAAAGGCCCGGCUUUUGUGGGUUUCUCGAUUGGCGAACGCGUGAGUAACACGUGAGUAACCUGCCCUUGUCUUUGGGAUAACUUCAGGAAACUGGGGCUAUUACCGCAUAUAAUCUCUUGCUGCGCGUGGUUGGUUGGAAAAUUUCGGCUUUUGGGGAUGGUCUCGAGGCUUAUCAGCUUGUUGGUGGGGUAGUGGCUGACCAAGGCUUUGACGGGUAGCCGGCCUGAGCGGGUGACCGGCCACAUUGGGACUGAGAGACGGCCCAGACUGCUACGGGAGGCAGCAGUGGGGAAUCUUGCACAAUGGGCGGAAGCCUGAUGCAGCAGCGCCGCGUGCGGGAUGACGGCCUUCGGGUUGUAAACAGAUUUCGCCUGUGACGAAGAGUGAGUGACGGUAAUGGGUCAAGAAGCAACGGCUAACUACGUG